GACGAACGCUGGCGGCGUGCCUAAUACAUGCAAGUUGAGCGCUGAAGGUUGGUACUUGUACCAACUGGAUGAGCAGCGAACGGGUGAGUAACGCGUGGGGAAUCUGCCUUUGAGCGGGGGACAACAUUUGGAAACGAAUGCUAAUACCGCAUAAAAACUUUAAACACAAGUUUUAAGUUUGAAAGAUGCAAUUGCAUCACUCAAAGAUGAUCCCGCGUUGUAUUAGCUAGUUGGUGAGGUAAAGGCUCACCAAGGCGAUGAUACAUAGCCGACCUGAGAGGGUGAUCGGCCACAUUGGGACUGGGGCACGGCCCAAACUCCUACGGGAGGCAGCAGUAGGGAAUCUUCGGCAAUGGACGAAAGUCUGACCGAGCAACGCCGGGUGAGUGAAGAAGGGUUUCGGAUCGUAAAACUCUGUUGGUAGAGAAGAACGUUGGUGAGAGUGGAAAGCUCAUCAAGUGACGGUAACUACCCAGAAAGGGACGGCUAACUACGUG
RNAcentral lists this ribosomal RNA (497 nucleotides) under uncultured bacterium. RNAcentral describes it as "partial 16S ribosomal RNA". It matches the Rfam family "Bacterial small subunit ribosomal RNA", at positions 28 to 507 of the family's 1533-position model. The record is from RNAcentral.